GGAGGAAAAGAAACUAACAAGGAUUCCCUUAGUAACUGCGAGUGAACAGGGAAAAGCUCAAAUUUAAAAUCUGGCAGUCGGUUUGGCUGUCCGAGUUGUAAUUUAGAGAAGUGUUACCCGCGCUGGACCGUAUACAAGUCCUCUGGAAUGGGGCGUCAUAGAGGGUGAGAAUCCCGUCUUUGAUACGGACUACCAGUGCUUUGUGGUGUGCUCUCGAAGAGUCGAGUUGUUUGGGAAUGCAGCUCAAAAUGGGUGGUAAAUUCCAUCUAAAGCUAAAUACAGGCGAGAGACCGAUAGCGAACAAGUACCGUGAGGGAAAGAUGAAAAGAACUUUGGAAAGAGAGUUAAACAGUACGUGAAAUUGCUGAAAGGGAAACGCUUGAAGUCAGUCGCGUUGGCUGAGAAUCAGCCUUGCUUUUACUUGCUUGGUGUACUUCUCAGUCGAUGGGUCAGCAUCAGUUUUGACUGCUGGAUAAAGCUCAAGGGAAUGUGGCAUCCUCGGAUGUGUUAUAGCCCAUGUUCGUAUACAGCAGUUGGGACUGAGGAACUCAGCACGCCGCAAGGCCGGGUUUUUUAACCACGUACGUGCUUAGGAUGCUGGCAUAAUGGCUUUAAUCGACCCG
This 623-nucleotide unclassified non-coding RNA is filed under the name Clitocybula sp. RNAcentral's name for it is "sequence contains 28S rRNA gene". It matches the Rfam family "Eukaryotic large subunit ribosomal RNA", at positions 52 to 651 of the family's 3401-position model. Lineage: Eukaryota; Fungi; Basidiomycota; Agaricomycetes; Agaricales; Porotheleaceae. The record is from RNAcentral.